Molecule: long non-coding RNA, 6759 nt
Organism: Orcinus orca (killer whale)
Lineage: Eukaryota; Metazoa; Chordata; Mammalia; Artiodactyla; Delphinidae
Exons: 3
Source: RefSeq, a predicted model, not a curated record
UAUCCUGAGAUGGAAGAGGGCUCAGGGAAGGCCAUGAGUGACUGUGAGCAAAUGUGUUGGUAAGAUACAUGAGAGAGAUUAGCAGGUACUGGAGAAAAAAAAAAAAAGUGUUUUAGGAAGAGAAGGUAACAACCAACAGAGAGGAUGAUUCCUAAGAAGCAUUCCUGACUCCUCAUUUCAAACGAGCUUUCUAAGGCAAGAUCUAAGUCACUCCUGGGUGUUUGAAAAUAUGCCUUUCAGCAUACCCCCUUCCUGUGACACAACCAUACAGAUAAGGAGGAAUUCACUUGUGGAUAUGACAGUCGUCUGCUGUCCACUAAAACACUGGGAAUUCAGGGUCAGUAAGCUAUGUGGAGCCUGCAGUUUGGUUUUCCCAUCCUUCAGAAAGUCCUCCUAUCCUGAUGAAACCCACAUAUUUCUUGGCAUAUUUCUUGGCAUAUAUUCUUGGAGGGACUGACCUACCCUUGAAGUUGGAGACAUCGAAGACACUUCUAGUACCUGAUGACCAUAGGAUUUCCAGGAAAGGAUGGGCAAAGAUUUUCAUUUAUCCUAAUUCUAAGCUUCCCAGUGUCCCACCCAUUCCUAGCUCCUUCAUCCCCUAUAGCAUUCUUUUCAUUCUCCAAGCUCAGUUCACAUAGCCACGUGUCCCUUCCAAAUGGGAGAGGUAUUUAUGUUCUAUGCUUAGUUUUAAAAGUCUUGGUCCUCCCCUACCCAACUGACCAGGAACUCUGUGCAUGUGUUGGACAGGCAAGCAAGUCAGUGGGAGAAGCCAGUAGAAUGUAGAAACCACUAGCCUCAGAGGAAUAAUGUAGCCUGAACAGAAUAGGGCAAGGUUUACUUUAUCACUCCUACAUCUAAAGAUUAUAGACCAUAUUUCAUACUCUCAAACAAGAGUAAUUUCUAUGGUUUUAAUCAUAAUUAUCUCAAGUAUUUAACAUCUCUUUUCUAGAACAUUACAUUAAACUAUCAGAAAAUAUACAAUUAAGAACAAACUACCAUCACUGGAAAUCAAGAAGGAAAGUCAGCUAUGUAAACACCUCUAUGCAGUGUAUUCAUCCUGAACAGAUGGGCGUUGUUGGAACAAAAUUCAGGGGCUACCCAGAGGCAGUGACCACAAAGGGGAGACCUGUGGAGGUACAGGGCCCAGCUCCAUGAAGACAAGGAGGAUGAGGUUAGUCCUCUCCCAAGGACUGAGGUCUGCAGAAUCCCAGGGCCAGGGAGGGCGUGGCAUCCUGGGGCUGCGUUGAGGGCCAGGAUGGGUGAUGGGAGGCGAAGGGUGAGAGUCCACGUCCUGAGUGGGGACCUGUCACAGCACGAGGCAGGAGACGGUAAAGAGACCAAAUGCGGAAAGGUUGGCAGGGACCUUUGAGUGCUUUUAAGCAGGAAAGGAAAUGACCCAAACUCUGCUGCCUGGCCUCCGUGCGUUUCAGGAUGAGGCAUUCUCCCUGAGGGCGGGACAAGGGGGUGCAGUGCCUGUGACAACUGCAGGGACCCACAGACCCAGGGGUUAGACACUUCAGACACGCCUCUUGUCAUAGGAGUCAAGCAGUAUACUUCUGCCUCUACAAAUUGUCCAUUCCCCCAACCCGCCUGCCAUGUCAAAGCUCCUGUGUUCAUGUUUACAUGCAGUGGGUGUCUGAGUGACGACAGUGUCUCCCCACCACAUCUCUGAGACUCUAUUUCCUUAUGUGGGAAUAAAGUCCAAUGAAAGCUGAAGGGUAAAAGGAAGUGACAGUGCUUUGAAGUAUAAUUUAAUUGGUUUUCUUUACUGUUACUAGAAUUAAAUUUUUUUUCCAGGUAUUCCUUUGCAAAGCCCCCUCAUUAAAGAACUACUCCUUUGUAGGGAGAGAUUCAGCCAUACCUAACACAUCUUGGUGAGAGUCAGUCGGAUGGCCUGAAAAAGAUACGGCCUCUCUAAAACAUAAUUCAGUGCACAUAAGGGAACCUAUUUCCACAUUCCUGGGGUGGCGGGGGAACUUUCCUCCUCAAGGUACCCCUGGUCCUAGUACAUGUGACCAUCAAGUGACCUGAGGGUACUCACAUGUUAGGGACCCUCAGCUUGAGAUGUUUGCUGUGAGUUAAAGUACAGAACCCUGGUGAAAUGAAGCAGUUCAUAUGUUUGGUUUAGACAGAUACAAUAAGGGAGAUUCCAAUUCCCCUUCAUGGGGACAUGAGCACAUUAGGGGAGUUAGUGAAUAGGGUGUUUCCCAGUGUUGAAAAUGUUUGCAAGGCUUUUGUCCUACUGAGAUUCUGCUGAGAUCAUCAGGAUGCUUAUGCAGCAACUCUUGUCUCAUUUUUUUCAUGAUGAAUUGUAUGUUUAUUUUAAUAUUCUAACGAUGCCAUGUUGGAAGUGAAGAAAACACAGCCAUCCAGGAGUGGAAAGUGGGGAAUGAAGAACAUAAACACAAUGAGUGUUGGCUGAUAACCUUCACAUCCAGCCUCAGAUACACACUUUAGAGGUCCCAGAGCUCCCAUCAUAGGGAAUCCCAAGUCAUUUCCAAAGACAGACCUUCAUGAACAGGGCAACACAGAAAUACCCACAUACCCCAUAUUGCUGUGGUUCUCCACCACCACAUCUGUCCAGGGGUCUCUGAGAAAGGAUCAGAAUGUCUAGUUCUUUGUGAGGGAAGUUCACAGUCAAUAUUUGAAGUUGGCUCCUUCAUACUCAAUCAGGAGCCCUUUCCUUCUACUAUUCGUAGAGGAAGAAUGAGUUUUCCAGAUGAAGGAAAGAAUGGUGGAUGGCUUUUGAGUCAUCUUAAGUGUCAUAAUUCCAAAAAGCAUGUACUGGGUUCUGAGUCUUUCCUGUUGUGGAUGUUAGGCCACUGUUUCUCAUAAGAUGCCUUCCUGUCAGAAUGAGUACUGAGGACUAAGGGCAGCUGGGGGUGUGGGGAUCAACAGGCCCUGAGAGCCGAGUCUUUAGUAACCUCACCUUUACUCAAGGUCCCUGCAGCGCCCACUCCUGUGCACAGGGUACCAACUUGCCUCCACAGAACCAGACACUACCCCAGAGACAGGCUCCCCACAGCACCUGUCUGACUGCGGUUCCUGCUCAACAGGCUGCACACGUGGGGAGGAUCUCCAAUUAGCACUCUCCCCUCACAGGUUCAGUAUCUGCAGCAGCAACCUGGUUCUUUCCCUGACUCUAGACUCUAGACCCCUGGACCAGUGACAAGGUCUCAGAACACAGCAGAAUUUGUAGCACAGUAUCAUUCUUCCACCAACUCUGAAAUUUCCCCUAGAUGUCCUUGCUUGCCUUCCACCCCCCAUUUCCACUUCUUCCUUCCUUGCAUGCAAUGAAUAUUACUAACUGCCAGGAUGUUGAGGAUUAAAUUACAUAAUGUAUCGAGGUCCCCAGCACAGUGCCUUGUACACAUUGGAGCCUAACAAACCUGAGAGCACACAGGAGAUGCUCAGUAAAGCUUGUUUUAGUGAAUUGAUGCAUGUUGUUUCUCAAAUACUGUCUUGCUCAGACACUGCUGAUUUCUCUGUUCUCUCAAUUUGAUAAGGUCAACAAAUAAUAUAAUUUGGGGGAGGGGGAGGUAAUGGGUGAUAUUGCUGGAACCAAAUCUGUUUGUGCUUAGAAAUGAUGUUGUGACCCAGCAUUUCCAUUUUUAAGUUAAAAAUAAAAUUUUGGGGGUUUCCCUGGUGACGCAGUGGUUAAGAAUCCGCCUGCCAAUGCAGGGGACACGGGUUCGAGCCCAGGUCCGGGAAGAUCCCACAUGCCGCAGAGCAACCAAGCCCAUGUGCCAGAACUACUGAGCCUGCGCUCUAGAGCCCACCAGCCACAACUGCUGAGCCUACAUGCCACAACUACUUAAGCCCGCACACCUAGAGCCCAUGCUCCGCAACAAGAGAAGCCACUGCAAUGAGAAGUGGGCACCGCAACAAAGAGUAGCCCCCGCUCGCCACAACUAGAGAAAGCCCUCAUGCAGCAACGAAGACCCAACGCAGCCAAAAAUAAAUUUAUAAAAUAAAAUAAAAUUUCAUCGGUCCCUCCCAAACUUCCUGAAUCAUAAUUUCCUAAUGUUGAACCCCUGAUCUCCAAGAGAUUUGCAUGUAUAUUACAGCUUAAAAAUCAAUAUUGACUUAAAUAAUUCUCAACACUGCUUUCCCAUUGGGAAACCUUAGGUAAUUGUAAGAAAUACCAUCACUCCAGAAAUUAUUUCAGUUGUUCUGAGGAUGAGCCUAGCAUCAAUACUAUUUUAACAAAACCUUCAUGACCCCUUUAUUUGCAGAUCAAAGAACAUUUAUUAACCCUCAGGUGAUUCAAAUAUCAGGUUGCUAUCUAUAUUAGAUCUUAAAAUUCUUUGACUCUUGUGGUCAUCAGAGGAUUCCAGAAAGGAGAAGUUUUUCUGUGCUUCUCUAGACUUUCAAUUGCCAGAAAUUAAGACCCACGACACUCUGUUUCUGUUGUCGUUGUUUCAAAAUUCAUGACACAGUGAUGAGGCAGGAGUACCGCUAUCGCCACUGCUGGAAAUGAAGAUGCAAAAAGGUUGUCUUAGGCUGCUCUGAGCCCCUGACUCUAAGCUAAAUCCCCAAGGAUGUCCCGGAACAGGUGGUACUAGAAUGGAAAGCAGGAAGACAGCAACACACCAGCAGGAACAAACGUAAAAUUUUCUCAACACACCAGCAGGAACAAACGUAAAAUUUUCUAAGUCCUCCAGGAAGCCCUGCAAGGUUCGUGUAGGCAUGUGUUACCCUCUGCUGGCCUGGGCACAUUGAAAAUGGGAUCUACCAACAGCCCCUCUGAGAUAUGAAAACCAAGAUGUCAGACCUCAAAGGAGCUGAUCAGAGCAGAAGGUAGAAGGGCACCCAGAUGGCAAGGGCUGAGACUGUGCUGGACAUAUAAGGUAUGUUGUAGGUGAGGCUUCUCCUUGCUGGGUACGGAUCUGGUUCCUGUCUUUGUAGAGGUUGGCGUAACUCCAGUGUCCAGGGAUGGGCAAACCCUGGACCAAGGCCUCUUUUCCUCUCUCUGGUAGUUCUCUUCUCCUAAGUGUCUCACAAGUUCCCAGGUUCUCCCAUGCUCUCCUCAGGUUGGUUUUCUUUUCCCUCCUGAUGUUCGUCUUUGCCUUGCAGAGCAAGUUUCCUAGCACAAACCUAGAACUAAGACUUCAAACUACCCAAUGGGCCCAAUGUCAUUAUCUUGUUAUUCAGUUAGAGAUGUCUGUAUUCUUUUAUCUCCUUAGGUGUAUUAUUAUUAUACUUCCUCAUAUUAAUGUCAUAAGGAUAAUAAUCACUAUAGUUAUUUAUUAUUAAGUUUCUUAUUAUGGAUUUUCGUGUGUGGUUAUAGCUACACAGCAUUGACUAGUGAUUCUCUACUUAAGAAAGAUGUCUGAUUUUCAGAAGAUGAUUGCCAAGGGUUCUCAAACAGACACACAUUCACAGUCUCCCAUGCUCCUUGCCAUACCACUUAGUAUCUUUUCAAUAAGCAAAACCCUUAUUUUUCAAUUCCAGCUCCAGAAGCAGGGACAAACCUGUGAGUAGGUGAGUUCCAGAUGAGGAUUCCAUUGAUCUUAGUGAGGCCCUGCUCACUUUACAACAGCUCUUCAGGGACCAGGAAUCUCUUUUUCCAUCUGAAGAGACCCAGGGAAGUAGUCCUUGACCUGCUAGAGAAACCACAAAGAUUUACCUAGGAACAAGGAGGUGUGUUGAAACUCCUGCAGAGAGGACCAUGAGAAGGGUGCACAGAUCUCACACCCAGGCCUGAAAGAUGGGGAACUGCCUCAAAUCCAGCAUCUUGGAUGACAGCUCUGUUCCUGAGUCUCCAUCCCGCUGGGUGGGCCCAGGCGGGAGGAGACGCUGGGAUCAGGAACCACAUCCGGAACAAGUUCCAAAUCCCAUCCAUCUUCCAACACCCAGCUCGCUUCACCAAGCAGCACAGCUGAUGGAAGAGGAACAAGUGAGGUUAGCUCAAAGAAUCAGCUUUAAAGAGCACCUGCCUCAAGGAGUGUACAGAACAGAUGGAUUUGAAGAAAAGAUCCAGGAGGAGUGUGUGAUUUGUUGGUUGGAGUUUGUGCGUGGGGACUCCAUCAGAUUUCUGCCCUGCGCACACUUCUAUCACCUGAACUGCAUCAAUGAGUGGUUGACCAGGUCCUUCACCUGCCCCUACUGUCGCAGGCCCAUGGAUGUCACACAGCCUUCAUCCCAGGACAUUAAUUGAGCCAGGAUCCCUUGUUUGAUUUCAAGUGUCCCAUCAUUUUUAGUGAUUUUGAUAUUUUGUCAUCGUGUCUAAGUAGCCAGGGAUUAGGAAUUAAAAUCAUGCACAAAGAUUUCCUAAAAAUUCCUGUCAUGUUGCAGAUGAUGGCAAACAAUUUAUAAUGUUUUAGAAACUUAGGGAGAUAAUAGCAUGUAAAGCCUUGACCAAGUGUUCAGAAGUGUAAUUAUAUCUUAGCAUUUUUCCAGUACAUGGGAUGUGUACCAUGUUGCAGCAGCUAUACAUGUUGUAUUGUGUCUGUUGAAGAUUAGGGAAAAGAAAGUGGUUACUUUUCCUAAGUGAUAUAACUUUCUUCUCCCCAAUCCAAACUGGCAUUUGGACCAAGGUUUUAUGAAAAACUACAAUUUAUACAACUGAACUAAAAUGAAAUCCAAUUAUAUAUGAGUGAAUAAAUGAAGAAUCUUAUUUUCAAAUAACCCUCCUAAAUGGUCUUAUCUUUUUUUUCUCCAUCAUUUUGAGACAUUUAACUUUUUGUCUUGUAAGUCCAACCAAGGGGAACAGUGUCCCAGGGAAGAACAGUCGUGAGUAGGUUUAUUAGCUGUGUA